UUUAUUACAAGUCCAAAGAAUGGGCCGGGAACUACGUCAUUCGGGAAGACGAUCAGAGAGUGUGGUCUAUAGGGCAGGAACGGAAAGACAGCUAGACAGACAGAAACAGAACAGAAAUAUGUACGAAAGCUGCUGCAGAAAAGCUUUAAUUAGUCAUCCUCUGGUGAAUACCUAGACACAUCAAAUGAAUUCGAAACAAAUGUGCGCUUACUUGUAAAAGACGACGUAGUAUCGAUCGGAAUCCAUAACCUGGAAGAGCAGCAUGAGAGCUUGCACAGCUGUGCUGAACUUCACGAUGUGCACCACUUUAAACAGCGUGUCCAGCUGCUCCCGGACGUCUCAUCUCCGGCCUUGGUGUAUGGAUAAGCCCUGUUGAUGCCGCUCAGCAGCGCACACAGCAUCUUAGACUCAGAAGAAUUCAUUCUUAAAGUAUCAUAUAGAUAAUAUCAUGUUAAACAACAAUAAAAGAAAGUUAUAUUCAUUGAAGUAUUGUUCUGUAAAUAAAUAAACAAAAAAUUAUUAAGA
Molecule: long non-coding RNA, 525 nt
Organism: Tachysurus fulvidraco (yellow catfish)
Lineage: Eukaryota; Metazoa; Chordata; Actinopteri; Siluriformes; Bagridae
Exons: 2
Source: RefSeq, a predicted model, not a curated record